UUCUUCGAGUGAUUGCUCAUGUGUAUUCCACAAUAGGUGAUUCCAAGCUAUAUCUGUUGGAGGCGGGUAGGAGUUCCCAAAUUCUUGGGAUGGAGCACAGGCCUACCAAACCCGGCGUCGUCCCUGGUCUGGGAGGUGAACCUGUGAACUGAAGACCAUGUGGCAACUCUGCAAAUGUCCUGAAUGGGAACAUGGGCUAAAAAGUCAGCCAACAAGGCUUGCGCCCUAGUGAGUGUGCCCUCACAAUUGAUGGCUGGGGGAUUCCCGCCAGGUCAUAACAGGUACGGAUGCACGAGGUGAUCCAGUUGGAGAGCCGCUGAGUGGAGAUCAGCUGACUCAUCAUGCAUUCGACCAAGGCAAUGAACAGCUGCAAAGACUUCCUGAAUGGCUUAGUCCACUCCAGGACCUUGCCGAUGAGUGGGAACCGGGGGGAGGCAUAGAGCAACUGGCCUGACGAGGAUAGGAGGAAGGCAUCAGGGAUAGCCCAGCCCAUCCCCAUCCCAGCCCCCCUGGAUCAGAACCGGGGACAGCGACAGUUCCUUCGAGUUGCAAACAGGUCCACCUGGGGAGUUCCCCACUCUUGGAAAAGUCUGUGCACCAUCUAUGGGUGAAGAGAUCACUCGUGCUGAGAGGAAAAGUCCCUGCUCAAGUGAUCCGCCUGCGAAUUCUGGGCACGCAGCCCAGAGUGGCGCACGUGGACAAAGGAGCGCCACUUGAUCCUGUACCUGCGAACAGGAGCUGCCCUUGACCAGCCAGGCAUCCAGAUAGGGGAAAAUCUGGACCCCACGGUGCCUGAAGUAGGCCACCUCCACAGACAUACACUUUGUAAAUACCCUGCAGGCAGUGGACAGGCCAAAUGGGAGGACCGUAAAUUGGUAGUGUUCCUGUCCAACUGUGUAAUGGAGGAAGCAUCUGUGCCCCUCGAAUAUAUGGAUGUGGAAGUACGCGUCCUGCAGAUUGAGGGUAGCGUACCAGUC
Chrysemys picta bellii (western painted turtle) is the source of this 977-nucleotide non-coding RNA. The record is from RefSeq and is a predicted model, not a curated record. Lineage: Eukaryota; Metazoa; Chordata; Testudines; Emydidae.